GGAAAGGCGCGCGAUACAGGGUGACAGCCCCGUACACAAAAAUGCACAUGCUGUGAGCUCGAUGAGUAGGGCGGGACACGUGGUAUCCUGUCUGAAUAUGGGGGGACCAUCCUCCAAGGCUAAAUACUCCUGACUGACCGAUAGUGAACCAGUACCGUGAGGGAAAGGCGAAAAGAACCCCGGCGAGGGGAGUGAAAAAGAACCUGAAACCGUGUACGUACAAGCAGUGGGAGCACGCUUAGGCGUGUGACUGCGUACCUUUUGUAUAAUGGGUCAGCGACUUAUAUUCUGUAGCAAGGUUAACCGAAUAGGGGAGCCGAAGGGAAACCGAGUCUUAACUGGGCGUUAAGUUGCAGGGUAUAGACCCGAAACCCGGUGAUCUAGCCAUGGGCAGGUUGAAGGUUGGGUAACACUAACUGGAGGACCGAACCGACUAAUGUUGAAAAAUUAGCGGAUGACUUGUGGCUGGGGGUGAAAGGCCAAUCAAACCGGGAGAUAGCUGGUUCUCCCCGAAAGCUAUUUAGGUAGCGCCUCGUGAAUUCAUCUCCGGGGGUAGAGCACUGUUUCGGCAAGGGGGUCAUCCCGACUUACCAACCCGAUGCAAACUGCGAAUACCGGAGAAUGUUAUCACGGGAGACACACGGCGGGUGCUAACGUCCGUCGUGAAGAGGGAAACAACCCAGACCGCCAGCUAAGGUCCCAAAGUCAUGGUUAAGUGGGAAACGAUGUGGGAAGGCCCAGACAGCCAGGAUGUUGGCUUAGAAGCAGCCAUCAUUUAAAGAAAGCGUAAUAGCUCACUGGUCGAGUCGGCCUGCGCGGAAGAUGUAACGGGGCUAAACCAUGCACCGAAGCUGCGGCAGCGACACUAUGUGUUGUUGGGUAGGGGAGCGUUCUGUAAGCCUGUGAAGGUGUGCUGUGAGGCAUGCUGGAGGUAUCAGAAGUGCGAAUGCUGACAUAAGUAACGAUAAAGCGGGUGAAAAGCCCGCUCGCCGGAAGACCAAGGGUUCCUGUCCAACGUUAAUCGGGGCAGGGUGAGUCGACCCCUAAGGCGAGGCCGAAAGGCGUAGUCGAUGGGAAACAGGUUAAUAUUCCUGUACUUGGUGUUACUGCGAAGGGGGGACGGAGAAGGCUAUGUUGGCCGGGCGACGGUUGUCCCGGUUUAAGCGUGUAGGCUGGUUUUCCAGGCAAAUCCGGAAAAUCAAGGCUGAGGCGUGAUGACGAGGCACUACGGUGCUGAAGCAACAAAUGCCCUGCUUCCAGGAAAAGCCUCUAAGCAUCAGGUAACAUCAAAUCGUACCCCAAACCGACACAGGUGGUCAGGUAGAGAAUACCAAGGCGCUUGAGAGAACUCGGGUGAAGGAACUAGGCAAAAUGGUGCCGUAACUUCGGGAGAA
RNAcentral lists this ribosomal RNA (1394 nucleotides) under Escherichia coli. RNAcentral describes it as "partial 23S ribosomal RNA". It matches the Rfam family "Bacterial large subunit ribosomal RNA", at positions 344 to 1744 of the family's 2925-position model. Lineage: Bacteria; Pseudomonadati; Pseudomonadota; Gammaproteobacteria; Enterobacterales; Enterobacteriaceae. The record is from RNAcentral.